Molecule: ribosomal RNA, 396 nt
Filed under: uncultured bacterium
Lineage: Bacteria
Description: partial 16S ribosomal RNA
Rfam family: Bacterial small subunit ribosomal RNA
Source: RNAcentral
AUACGGAGGAUGCGAGCGUUAUCCGGAAUCAUUGGGUUUAAAGGGUGCGUAGGCGGCCUUUCAAGCCCGGGGUGAAAAUCUGGGGCCCAACCCCAGACCUGCCUCGGGAACUGGCUGGCUGGAGUACGCUUGCCGCGGGAGGAAUGAGUGGUGUAGCGGUGAAAUGCAUAGAUAUCACUCAGAACACCGAUUGCGAAGGCAUCCCGCGAAGGCGCCACUGACGCUGAGGCACGAAAGCGUGGGGAUCGAACAGGAUUAGAUACCCUGGUAGUCCACGCAGUAAACGAUGAUAGCUAGCCGUUGGCCCGUUAAAGUGGUCAGUGGCCGAGCGAAAGCGAUAAGCUAUCCACCUGGGGAGUACGGCCGCAAGGCUGAAACUGAAAGGAAUUGACGGGG